Molecule: small RNA, 281 nt
Filed under: Arabidopsis thaliana (thale cress)
Lineage: Eukaryota; Viridiplantae; Streptophyta; Magnoliopsida; Brassicales; Brassicaceae
Description: ATSL104620
Source: RNAcentral
AAUACAAUGUUUGAUUUUUCUCGUAUUACUAUUGAUCCAAAUCCAUCCUACAAUCUAAUCCCUUCCAGUGAAAUAAAAAAUAUAUAAUGGAUUUCACUCUUGGUAUACCGUCUCGUAUUACUAUCGACCCAAACUCGUCCUACCAUCUAACCCCGUUCAGUGAAAUGAAACAUAUCUAAUAAAUUUUAUCUGUGGUAUACCGUCUCAUAUAACUAUCGACCCAAACCCGUCCUACCAUCUAACCCCGUUAAGUAAAAUUAAACAGUAUUUUGUUAUUUUUU